This is a non-coding RNA of Bombyx mori (domestic silkworm), 86 nucleotides long. Lineage: Eukaryota; Metazoa; Arthropoda; Insecta; Lepidoptera; Bombycidae. The record is from Rfam.
UUAACUCAAAUUUGUAUGGAGUUGGAACAGCGCCCCUGGCAGCAAACGAAGGGAAGCUGCUCCAGCUCCAUAAAAAUUUGACAAUA